Molecule: non-coding RNA, 958 nt
Filed under: Brama japonica
Lineage: Eukaryota; Metazoa; Chordata; Actinopteri; Scombriformes; Bramidae
Description: 12S ribosomal RNA
Rfam family: Bacterial small subunit ribosomal RNA
Source: RNAcentral
CAAAGGCUUGGUCCUGACUUUACUGUCGACUUUAGCUAGAUUUACACAUGCAAGUAUCCGCAGCCCUGUGAGAAUGCCCCCACUCUCUACCGAGAACAAGGAGCAGGCAUCAGGCACCCCUAACCAUCCGCCCAUGACGCCUUGUUCAGCCACACCCUCAAGGGAACUCAGCAGUGAUAGACCUUAAGCUAUAAGUGAAAACUUGACUUAGUUAAAGCUAAUUAAGAGCCGGUAAAACUCGUGCCAGCCACCGCGGUUAUACGAGAGGCCCGAGUUGACAGACAUCGGCGUAAAGCGUGGUUAAGGCCCCCCCCCUCAACUAAAGCCGAACACCCUCAGAGCAGUUAUACGCAUCCGAGGGCACGAAGCUCCAUCACGAAAGUGGCUUUACCCCCCCCCCCCCUGACCCCACGAAAGCUACGAAACAAACUGGGAUUAGAUACCCCACUAUGCCUAGCCGUAAACAUUGAUAGAAUAACACAACAUCUAUCCGCCCGGGUACUACGAGCACUAGCUUAAAACCCAAAGGACUUGGCGGUACUUUAGAUCCCCCUAGAGGAGCCUGUUCUAUAACCGAUAAUCCCCGUUUAACCUCACCCUCUCUUGUUUUCCCCGCCUAUAUACCGCCGUCGUCAGCUUACCCUGUGAGGGCCUCAUAGUAAGCAAAAUUGGCACCCCCUAGAACGUCAGGUCGAGGUGUAGCGCAUGUGAGGAGAAGAAAUGGGCUACAUUCACUAGUCACAGUGAACACGAACGAUAUACUGAAAACGUAUAGCCGAAGGAGGAUUUAGCAGUAAAUGGAAAACAGAGUGUUCCAUUGAAAUCGGCUCUGAAGUGCGCACACACCGCCCGUCACUCUCUCCCAGCAUCCUGACUCACCUAACUAAAACACCACAGCCGCCACAGGGGAGGCAAGUCGUAACAUGGUAAGUGUACCGGAAGGUGCACUUGGAAAAAC